RNAcentral lists this non-coding RNA (71 nucleotides) under Kryptoperidinium foliaceum. Lineage: Eukaryota; Dinophyceae; Peridiniales; Kryptoperidiniaceae. The record is from RNAcentral.
UGUUGGAAGACGACUACGAAUUUAUGCGGAACAUCUUACCCAAGGUAUAUCAAGCCGUCAUGUCGGGGCCC